Molecule: microRNA, 22 nt
Filed under: Pongo pygmaeus (Bornean orangutan)
Lineage: Eukaryota; Metazoa; Chordata; Mammalia; Primates; Hominidae
Also listed under: 1 other name
Description: ppy-miR-603
Gene: ppy-miR-603
Source: miRBase by way of RNAcentral
CACACACUGCAAUUACUUUUGC